GAUUAACGCUAGCGGCAGGCCUAAUACAUGCAAGUCGAACGGUAACAGGUGUAGCAAUACAUGCUGACGAGUGGCGCACGGGUGCGUAACACGUAUGCAACCUACCUAUAACUGGGGAAUAGCCUUCCGAAAGGAAGAUUAACACCGCAUAACAUCACGAAACGGCAUCGUUUUGUGAUCAAACCUCCGGGGGUUAUAGAUGGGCAUGCGUAACAUUAGCUAGUUGGUGAGGUAAUAGCUCACCAAGGCUACGAUGUUUAGGGGGUCUGAGAGGAUGAUCCCCCACACUGGUACUGAGACACGGACCAGACUCCUACGGGAGGCAGCAGUAAGGAAUAUUGGACAAUGGGGGCAACCCUGAUCCAGCCAUGCCGCGUGAAGGAUGAAGGCCCCCUGGGUUGUAAACUUCUUUUGUACGGGAAUAAACCCCUUUACGUGUAGAGGGUUGAAUGUACCGUAAGAAUAAGGAUCGGCUAACUUCGUGCCAGCCGCCGCCGUAA
Molecule: ribosomal RNA, 500 nt
Filed under: uncultured bacterium
Lineage: Bacteria
Description: partial 16S ribosomal RNA
Rfam family: Bacterial small subunit ribosomal RNA
Source: RNAcentral